AUUGAACGCUGGCGGCAUGCCUUACACAUGCAAGUCGAACGGUAACGCGGGGGCAACCCUGGCGACGAGUGGCGAACGGGUGAGUAAUGCAUCGGAACGUACCCGGAAGUGGGGGAUAACGUAGCGAAAGUUACGCUAAUACCGCAUAUUCUGUGAGCAGGAAAGCAGGGGAUCGCAAGACCUUGCGCUUUCGGAGCGGCCGAUGUCGGAUUAGCUAGUUGGUGGGGUAAAGGCCUACCAAGGCGACGAUCCGUAGCGGGUCUGAGAGGAUGAUCCGCCACACUGGGACUGAGACACGGCCCAGACUCCUACGGGAGGCAGCAGUGGGGAAUAUUGGACAAUGGGCGGAAGCCUGAUCCAGCAACGCCGCGUGAGGGAUGACGGCCUUCGGGUUGUAAACCUCUUUCAGCACAGGCGAAGCUGCCAUCACGUGUGGUGGUGGUGACGGUAUGUGCAGAAGAAGCACCGGCCAACUACGUGCCAGCCGCCGCUGUAA
This 496-nucleotide ribosomal RNA is filed under the name uncultured bacterium. RNAcentral describes it as "partial 16S ribosomal RNA". It matches the Rfam family "Bacterial small subunit ribosomal RNA", at positions 29 to 523 of the family's 1533-position model. The record is from RNAcentral.